Molecule: unclassified non-coding RNA, 268 nt
Filed under: rhizosphere metagenome
Description: partial ribosomal RNA internal transcribed spacer region
Source: RNAcentral
GUAGGUGAACCUGCGGAAGGUUUAUUGUCGAAACCUGCUCUAAGCAGACAGACCCGCGAACCCAUUUCUAACCAAGCGCGCUCUCCUCCCCUCAGGCUGGGGGGCUGCCUCUCGGAAGCGCGACCAACCAAACCCCGGCGCGGAUUGCGCCAAGGACUAUGAACAUCAGCGCGCCCCGCGAGUCCCGGUCUUCCGGCGUCUCGCGGCGGCAUCGUGUCGUUUCUACCUAAAAAUAAAACGACUCUCGGCAACGGAUAUCUCGGCUCUC